UAAUACGGAGGAUCCGAGCGUUAUCCGGAUUUAUUGGGUUUAAAGGGUGCGCAGGCGGGAUGUUAAGUCGGCGGUGAAAUUUUGCGGCUCAACCGUAAAAGUGCCUUCGAAACUGGCAUUCUUGAGUAUGGAUGAAGUAGGCGGAAUUUGUGGUGUAGCGGUGAAAUGCUUAGAUAUCACGAGGAACUCCGAUUGCGCAGGCAGCUUACUAAACCAUAACUGACGCUCAUGCACGAAGGCGUGGGGAUCAAACAGG
RNAcentral lists this ribosomal RNA (256 nucleotides) under uncultured bacterium. RNAcentral describes it as "partial 16S ribosomal RNA". It matches the Rfam family "Bacterial small subunit ribosomal RNA", at positions 521 to 776 of the family's 1533-position model. The record is from RNAcentral.